UGUAUUUUAUUCUUGAAAAAUGCUGAG
Molecule: non-coding RNA, 27 nt
Filed under: Homo sapiens (human)
Lineage: Eukaryota; Metazoa; Chordata; Mammalia; Primates; Hominidae
Source: RNAcentral